AUCACAAAUAUAAAGAUUGAACGAUCCAAAAGUGGCUGGACAACAAACAGUAUCAGUAUGACUCAUACUUUAAGGGGAAGUGGCAUUCCUGUGAAUGAGAGAAGUUGGAGCGCCCAACGGUCAACGGAUGUAGAAAGAAAGUCCCGCCUUACAGAGUCGCCUGACAGAGUUCUGUGGACCAGCUCGAGGUUCUGCUGAGACGAGUCUGAAGAACACGGAUUGUCCUCAAACAUGUUCAUCUGCAUCAUGGAACAGGACGUGAUGUGCUUGGCAGCGAGCGCUGGAUGGGAUGGACUGUUUGGAGCAGGAUGCUGGGAAUGGCAAGGAUGGAGCUUGUUGCUGUGACGACUGCGGAAAGCUCAUAAUUCCAUGCUGCUUCCCAUUGGUCAGCACCU
Myxocyprinus asiaticus (Chinese sucker) is the source of this 395-nucleotide long non-coding RNA. RefSeq lists it as uncharacterized. NCBI's taxonomy places the organism in Eukaryota, Metazoa, Chordata, Actinopteri, Cypriniformes, Catostomidae. The record is from RefSeq and is a predicted model, not a curated record. The transcript is spliced from 4 exons.